GUUCAAGCGGUAGGAGAGCGUCGUAACCGGGCUGAAGUCGUACCGUAAGGAGCGGUGGACUGGUUACGAGUGAGAAUGUUGGCAUCAGUAGCGAGAUGUGGGUGAGAAUCCCACAGGCCGAAAACCUAAGGUUUCCUCAGGAAGGUUCGUCCGCUGAGGGUUAGUCGGGACCUAAGCCGAGGCCGAAAGGCGUAGGUGAUGGACAACUGGUUGAUAUUCCAGUACCACUACCAUCGUUAUUAUCGAUGGCGUGACGCAGGAGGAUAGUGUGUGCUAGCUAUUGGAUGCUAGUCUAAGCGUUUAGGCAGUGAGAGUAGGCAAAUCCGCUCUCAUAAUGCUGAGGCGUGAUGGGGAAGGUUCUACGGAACCGAAGUACAUGAUUCCACGCUGCCAAGAAAAGCGUCUAGAGAGAGAAGUAGUGCCCGUACCGCAAACCGACACAGGUAGGUGAGGAGAGAAUCCUAAGGCCGGCGGAAGAAUUACAGUUAAGGAACUCGGCAAAUUGACCCCGUAAGUUCGCGAGAAGGGGUGCCUACGAGAGUAGGCCGCAGAGAAUAGGCCCAAGCAACUGUUUAGCAAAAACACAGGUCUCUGCUAAAGCGUAAGCUGAUGUAUAGGGGCUGACGCCUGCCCGGUGCUGGAAGGUUAAGGGGAACACUUAGCGCAAGCGAAGGUGUGAACUUAAGCCCCAGUAAACGGCGGCCGUAACUAUAACGGUCCUAAGGUAGCGAAAUUCCUUGUCAGGUAAGUUCUGACCCGCACGAAUGGCGUAAUGACUUGGGCACUGUCUCAACUGUAAAUCCGGCGAAGUUGUAGUGCGAGUGAAGAUGCUCGCUACCCGCGAUUGGACGGAAAGACCCCGUAGAGCUUUACUGUAGCUUAGCAUUGAGUUUUGGUAUUGUCUGUACAGGAUAGGUGGGAGACUAGGAAACCAGGGCGUCAGCCUUGGUGGAGUCAACCUUGGGAUACCACCCUGACAGUACUGAAAUUCUAACUGGCGGCCAUGAAUCUGGUCACAGGACAUUGUUAGGUGGGCAGUUUGACUGGGGCGGUCGCCUCCUAAAAAGUAACGGAGGCGCCCAAAGGUUCCCUCAGAACGGUCGGAAAUCGUUCGAAGAGUGCAAAGGCAGAAGGGAGCCUGACUGCGACACCCACAAGUGGAGCAGGGACGAAAGUCGGGCUUAGUGAUCCGGUGGUACCUCGUGGGAGGGCCAUCGCUCAACGGAUAAAAGCUACCUCGGGGAUAACAGGCUGAUCUCCCCCAAGAGUCCACAUCGACGGGGAGGUUUGGCACCUCGAUGUCGGCUCGUCGCAUCCUGGGGCUGAAGUAGGUCCCAAGGGUUGGGCUGUUCGCCCAUUAAAGCGGCACGCGAGCUGGGUUCAGAACGUCGUGAGACAGUUCGGUCCCUAUCCGUCGCGGGCGUAGGAAAUUUGAGAGGAGCUGUCCUUAGUACGAGAGGACCGGGAUGGACUGACCUCUGGUGUACCAGUUGUUCCGCCAGGAGCACAGCUGGGUAGCUAAGUCGGGAAUGGAUAAACGCUGAAAGCAUCUAAGCGUGAAGCCAACCUCAAGAUGAGAUUUCCCAUAGCGUAAGCUAGUAAGAUCCCUUGAAGAACACAAGGUUGAUAGGUCGGGGGUGUAAGCAUGGUAACAUGUUCAGCUGACCGAUACUAAUAGAUCGAGGGCUUGACCAAAU
This 1697-nucleotide ribosomal RNA is filed under the name Clostridium perfringens. Its description in RNAcentral is "bacterial LSU rRNA". It matches the Rfam family "Bacterial large subunit ribosomal RNA", at positions 1219 to 2925 of the family's 2925-position model. Lineage: Bacteria; Bacillati; Bacillota; Clostridia; Eubacteriales; Clostridiaceae. The record is from RNAcentral.